Molecule: long non-coding RNA, 383 nt
Filed under: Ananas comosus (pineapple)
Lineage: Eukaryota; Viridiplantae; Streptophyta; Magnoliopsida; Poales; Bromeliaceae
Description: long non-coding RNA (ACOM_LNC000173)
Source: RNAcentral
UAAACUUCAAAUACCACUUUUGUGAUUUCAUAUUUUCUUAUUUUAGUACUCUGUGAUUUAAAAUAUAUCAAUUUAGUAUUAUAUAAUUUUUUUUCUUUUCGUCAACUUCUCCGUUAGUAUUUUGUUAAACUAUAUACAAAAAAACUUUAGAUACCCCGACUAAAUUUAUCGAAUAUUCACUUUAGUACAUUUUAAUUUAAACUUUAUCACUGAUUUAAUAAAAAAGAAUUAAUGGAGAGGAUAGUAAAAAGAGAAAAAUAAAAUAAUAGCUUACUAAAUUGAUACACUUUAAAUUAUAGAAUAUUAAAAUAAAAAAUCGGAGUUGUAUUUGAAAUUAUUUUAAAAAAAAAAUUUCUAGGCAUUGAGUGAUUGAUCGUUUAAUU